RNAcentral lists this transfer RNA (75 nucleotides) under Methylotenera sp. RNAcentral's name for it is "tRNA-Arg". It matches the Rfam family "tRNA". Rfam says of the family: Transfer RNA (tRNA) molecules are approximately 80 nucleotides in length. Their secondary structure includes four short double-helical elements and three loops (D, anti-codon, and T loops). Further hydrogen bonds mediate the characteristic L-shaped molecular structure. tRNAs have two regions of fundamental functional importance: the anti-codon, which is responsible for specific mRNA codon recognition, and the 3' end, to which the tRNAs corresponding amino acid is attached (by aminoacyl-tRNA synthetases). tRNAs cope with the degeneracy of the genetic code in two manners: having more than one tRNA (with a specific anti-codon) for a particular amino acid; and 'wobble' base-pairing, i.e. permitting non-standard base-pairing at the 3rd anti-codon position. The record is from RNAcentral. Lineage: Bacteria; Pseudomonadati; Pseudomonadota; Betaproteobacteria; Nitrosomonadales; Methylophilaceae.
GUCCUUGUAGUGAAACGGAUAUCACAGAUUCCUCCUAAGAAUCAAUUACAGGUUCGAUUCCUGUCGGGGACACCA